AGAGUUUGAUCCUGGCUCAGGACGAACGCUGGCGGUGCGCCUUAUGCAUGCAAGUCGAGCGAAGCUUUUCAGUAGUUUACUACAGAAAAUGACUGAGCGGCGAACGGGUGAGUAACGCGUGAGCAAUCUACCUUAGUUACAGGGAUAGCCCGAGGAAACUCGGAUUAAUACCUGAUAUUCUUUACAUUUCGCAUGAAAUCAAAAGGAAAGGUCAGCCGAACUAAGAUGAGCUCGCGUUCUAUCAGCUAGUUGGUGAGGUAAAAGCUCACCAAGGCAACGACGGAUAGCUGGUCUGAGAGGACGAUCAGCCACACUGGGACUGAGACACGGCCCAGACUCCUACGGGAGGCUGCAGCAGGGAAUAUUGCGCAAUGAGCGAAAGCUUGACGCAGCGACACCGCGUGUGGGAUGACGGAUCUAGGUUUGUAAACCACUUUCAGGAGGGAAGAAAAUGACGGUACCUCCACAAGAAGCCCCGGCCAACUACGUGCCAGCAGCCGCGGUAAUACGUAGGGGGCGAGCGUUGUCCGGAUUUAUUGGGCGUAAAGAGCUCGUAGGCGGUUCAACAAGUCGGUCGUAAAAGUUCAGGGCUCAACCCUGAAAUGUCGAUCGAUACUGUUGUGACUAGGAUACGGUAGAGGUGAGUGGAAUUCCGAGUGUAGCGGUGAAAUGCGUAGAUAUUCGGAGGAACACCAAUUGCGAAGGCAGCUCACUGGGCCGCUAUCGACGCUGAGGAGCGAAAGCUAGGGGAGCAAACAGGAUUAGAUACCCUGGUAGUCCUAGCUGUAAACGAUGGAUACUAGACGUAGGAACUGGAUUGACGGUUUCUGUGUCGUAGCUAACGCGUUAAGUAUCCCGCCUGGGGAGUACGGUCGCAAGACUAAAACUCAAAGGAAUUGACGG
RNAcentral lists this ribosomal RNA (903 nucleotides) under uncultured marine bacterium. Its description in RNAcentral is "bacterial SSU rRNA". It matches the Rfam family "Bacterial small subunit ribosomal RNA", at positions 8 to 916 of the family's 1533-position model. The record is from RNAcentral.